RNAcentral lists this long non-coding RNA (856 nucleotides) under Homo sapiens (human). RNAcentral's name for it is "HSALNT0313967". The record is from RNAcentral. Lineage: Eukaryota; Metazoa; Chordata; Mammalia; Primates; Hominidae.
UCAAUGUCCCUAGACAAUGACCACCCACAAGACCUUGAACUGGGGAAUUGGGAGAAGUAGAAACGACAUGACUGAAUUCUUCCAAAACAGCUGUGGGUAGGAGAAGGAUUACUAUUGACAUGCUAAAAGGUCACUGAUGUAUAAUCUGAGACAGGUAGAGCCUAAAGGAGACAGAGUCUCACGUACUGGAAACAGGAUUGAUGGAGAGUAAAUUCUUAGCAAAUAUUACGAAAACACUGUCAAAAGAUUCUGCAGAACCACACGAACAUGGUCACUCUUUCAAUAUCCACUGACUGACUGAGAAAGUACACAAUGACAAAAAGUCACUAUGCCUUCAGAAAUACUUUUAAUUAAUCUGAAUUGUGCUCAUUGUAAAAUGUACUUACACUGAGAAUAAUAGCAAUACAAAUAUAAAUUAGGCUUGCUCUUUAUUCUACGUACAGAAGUUUCUGGGUAUAUAGAUGGUUUCGAGACUCUGAAAUAUUUAUCUGGCUCUCCAGGUUUCAGAAUCACUGGACCAUUAGACCACAUCAGCACUGGACCCAGCUAAAGGGCAGAGAUUCAGAGAUCCCCAACUGUGACUAGUUGUGCAAGAAGCAUGCAGAAUGAUGAGAAACCUACAGCUCAGAAAAGAAACAAAUCGUCUAUAUGGAAGUCCAGUCUUGCUGUGGAAAGGCUCAGAAAAACAAGACCCUUAGCAUAUCUCAGGGAACUGAAAGGCUGUGGGGAAACCAACAGCUUGCUGCAACCACAGCCACAAGUCAGGUGGAAUGACUGUGGCUCUGUGCCAUCUCGAAAUCUACUGGUCUCUAAGCACAAACGAACAUUCUCUUAAACUAAUGAAAUGAGUGGCAGG